UCGGGGAUGGUAUGAUAUAUAUGUCUUCAUCAUUCCGAUGAUCCUUGAUGAUAUGUGCCUCGAAAAUAUAUACGAAAAUAGCGGGAAGUUUAACAAAAAUAUUUAUUUUUGGAUUUUAAAGUGACUACCAAAGACCGUAAAUUGAGGGGUACCUCAUUAAAGAGCUAACAUAUAAAAAUGUGACCAUAGAAAAUUUUUACGACCAAACGGAAAUUAAAAUAUAGAUAUUAGUCUAUCAUUUAAAACAAAAUGUUCUGAAACGUCGCCAUGCUACGUCAUCAAAACG
This 286-nucleotide long non-coding RNA is filed under the name Mytilus galloprovincialis (Mediterranean mussel). Lineage: Eukaryota; Metazoa; Mollusca; Bivalvia; Mytilida; Mytilidae. The record is from RNAcentral.